CAAAGUCCUGUAAAGCUUUCUGCAGUGGUAUUUGCUGAAAGUUCUUUCCAUGAAUAUGAUACUGUGCUAAAGUCUUAGUCUGCCUGUAAGGAAGUUCUGCUAUUUUUGCACUUAUUUGGGAGACACUUAUCAAACAAAACAGAAGAAAGUAUAAUAUUGAUGUUUCAUUAUCUAUAGAUUUACUCUUCAUUCUAUUGAAGACAAAUUUGCCUUCUCUCGCUAACAUUUGUCAAUAUCAGAAACAUUGUAUAGAUCAGUGGCCAAUUCUCGAGGUAUUAUCGAAGCUUUCGAAAAUGUAUUUGCGUCGCACAAUCCAGCAUCGACCCUACACGUCGAUUUUUUCCGAUAUCUCGUAGGGUUAGGUUAUAUAACUUGAAAAACAAUGGAUCAUUGAUCACGUAAGAAGAAAUUUUUAUUCGUUCUUCUUCGAAGACAAAAUCGAAAAUUCAAACGCGACGAGUAAAAUCUCGACGACCCGUUGCACUUUGUUAGAUGGAAAAUAAACUUUGUUAUGACGGUACGGCGUAUAUUCACCGGUACUUAUGCUAGGGUACGUAUAGAGUUACAGUCAUAAUCGUAGAUCGUUCGUACUUCUUGGCCGCCAUUUCGCGGCCAAUGUCUUUAGUAGGGCAUCG
This is a long non-coding RNA of Eufriesea mexicana, 635 nucleotides long. RefSeq lists it as uncharacterized. The transcript has 3 exons. The record is from RefSeq and is a predicted model, not a curated record. NCBI's taxonomy places the organism in Eukaryota, Metazoa, Arthropoda, Insecta, Hymenoptera, Apidae.